CGCGUGACUGUAUCAGAUUUCUUCUCCUUUGUUUGUGACCUGGUUUUUAACUCUUCCUAAAACCCUUGCCUUUCCCUCUCCUCUCUCCCUCUGAAGCUCACACAGAUUCCAUCGCAAUCGGCGUCGCCGCAUCUGGUCGCUCCUAGUCGGCGAUCCAGUCUUCCACUAAUUGCACUUGAGCAUUUGGUUUGUGUGAGGAAGAGGCAAUGGGCAACGGUCCAGCUCCCUUUCAGAAAUUGGCAAACAUGGACUUUUGAAAGAUACAAAAUUUCGGAUAUUUUAUGCUUUAGCUGUUGCGUUAGAGUAAAACUGUUUGAUGCUUUAACUGUUGCGUUAAUCUUAGGAUAGUAUUGAGAUCUAUUUUGAGUCCAUGUGUAUUUAAUGCCAUUUUCUUGAAUGUUUAGUUGGGUAUGUGCUUUACGGCGAAAGGUCUCUCUCCUUUAUAUUUGUUGUGUGAUGAGUGGACCGAGUGAUUGAAUUCUGCAGUGGCUUAAGUAUAUGUUAGCGUUAACUAGUUGUAUGUUUUUGCUCCUGUAAAAUCCAGAAUAACAGGCGAUAUAAUGGAUUCUGAGCCAA
Long non-coding RNA from Salvia splendens (bonfire salvia), 576 nucleotides. RefSeq lists it as uncharacterized. Lineage: Eukaryota; Viridiplantae; Streptophyta; Magnoliopsida; Lamiales; Lamiaceae. The record is from RefSeq and is a predicted model, not a curated record. The transcript has 2 exons.